Molecule: ribosomal RNA, 225 nt
Filed under: uncultured Brucella sp.
Lineage: Bacteria; Pseudomonadati; Pseudomonadota; Alphaproteobacteria; Hyphomicrobiales; Brucellaceae
Description: partial 16S ribosomal RNA
Rfam family: Bacterial small subunit ribosomal RNA
Source: RNAcentral
UGCGCAGGCGGUUUUGAAAGUCAGAUGUGAAAUCCCCGGGCUCAACCCCGGAACUGCCUUUGAUACUGGAAGUCUUGAGUAUGGUAGAGGUGAGUGGAAUUCCGAGUGUAGAGGUGAAAUUCGUAGAUAUUCGGAGGAACACCAGUGGCGAAGGCGGCUCACUGGACCAUUACUGACGCUGAGGUGCGAAAGCGUGGGGAGCAAACAGGAUUAGAUACCCCUGUA